RNAcentral lists this ribosomal RNA (468 nucleotides) under uncultured bacterium. RNAcentral's name for it is "partial 16S ribosomal RNA". It matches the Rfam family "Bacterial small subunit ribosomal RNA", at positions 28 to 507 of the family's 1533-position model. The record is from RNAcentral.
GACGAACGCUGGCGGCGUGCUUAACACAUGCAAGUCGAACGGAAAGGCCCUUCUUUUGUUUGUUUCUCGAUUGGCGCACGCGUGAGUAACACGUGAGUAACCUCCCCUUUACUUUGGGAUAACUUCAGGAAACUGCGGCUAAUACCGGAUAUGAGCUCCUGCUGCAUGGUGUGGGUUGGAAAGUUUCGGCGGUUGGGUCUGUACUCGCGGCUUCUCAGCUUGUUGGUGGGGUAGUGGCUUACCAAGGCUUUGACGGGUAGCCGGCCUGAGAGGGUGACCGGCCACAUUGGGACUGAGAGACGGCCCAGACUCCUAAGGGAGGCAGCAGUGGGGAAUAUUGCACAAGGGGCGGAAGCCUGAUGCAGAAACGCCGCGUGCGGGAUGACGGCCUUAGGGUUGUAAACCGCUUGCGCCUGUGACGAAGCGUGAGUGACGGUAAUGGGUAAAGAAGCACAGGCUAAAUAAGUG